RNAcentral lists this ribosomal RNA (864 nucleotides) under uncultured bacterium. RNAcentral's name for it is "bacterial SSU rRNA". It matches the Rfam family "Bacterial small subunit ribosomal RNA", at positions 60 to 932 of the family's 1533-position model. The record is from RNAcentral.
AGUCGAGGGGUAUAGUAGCAAUACUAGAGACCGGCGCACGGGUGCGUAACGCGUAUGCAAUCUACCUUUUGCAGAGGGAUAGCCCAGAGAAAUUUGGAUUAAUACCUCAUAGUAUAGUGAUACCGCAUGGUACUACUAUUAAAGUCACAACGGCAAAAGAUGAGCAUGCGUCCCAUUAGCUAGUUGGUAAGGUAACGGCUUACCAAGGCCACGAUGGGUAGGGGUCCUGAGAGGGAGAUCCCCCACACUGGUACUGAGACACGGACCAGACUCCUACGGGAGGCAGCAGUGAGGAAUAUUGGACAAUGGGCGCAAGCCUGAUCCAGCCAUGCCGCGUGCAGGAUGACGGUCCUAUGGAUUGUAAACUGCUUUUAUACGAGAAGAAACAUCCCGACGUGUCGGGACUUGACGGUAUCGUAAGAAUAAGGAUCGGCUAACUCCGUGCCAGCAGCCGCGGUAAUACGGAGGAUCCAAGCGUUAUCCGGAAUCAUUGGGUUUAAAGGGUCCGUAGGCGGUCUUAUAAGUCAGUGGUGAAAUCUCCCCGCUCAACGGGGAAACGGCCAUUGAUACUGUAGGACUUGAAUUAUUAGGAAGUAACUAGAAUAUGUAGUGUAGCGGUGAAAUGCUUAGAGAUUACAUGGAAUACCAAUUGCGAANGCAGGUUACUACUAAUGGAUUGACGCUGAUGGACGAAAGCGUGGGUAGCGAACAGGANUAGAUACCCUGNUAGUCCACGCCGUAAACGAUGGAUACUAGCUGUUGGGAGUAAUCUCAGUGGCUAAGCGAAAGUGAUAAGUAUCCCACCUGGGGAGUACGUUCGCAAGAAUGAAACUCAAAGGAAUUGACGGGGGCCCGCACAAGCGG